AUGCGAGUUGAGAGGGUUCGGCCCUCGGCAGACCGCUCAGUAACACGUGGAGAACCUGCCCUGAAGCGGGGGAUAACCUCGGGAAACUGAGGAUAAUACCCCAUAGUUCUGGGAUGCUGGAAUGCUUCCAGGACGAAAGGCUUGCCACUUCAGGAUGGCUCUGCGGCCUAUCAGGUUGUAGUGAGGGUAACGGCCUCACUAGCCUACAACGGGUACGGGCGUUGAGAGACGUCGCCCGGAGAUGAACUCUGAGACACGAGUUCAGGCCCUACGGGGCGCAGCAGGCGCGAAAACUCCGCAAUGUGGGAAACCACGACAGGGGAACACCAAGUGCCAGCACAAUGUGUUGGCUGUUUUCUUGUCUAAAAAACAAGGAGAGUAAGGGCUGGGUAAGACGGGUGCCAGCCGCCGCGGUAAUACCUGCAGCCCAAGUGGUGGCCGUUAUUAUUGGGCCUAAAACGUCCGUAGCCGGCUUCCUAAAUGCCUGUGUAAAUCGAACGGCUUAACCGUUCGAACAGCGGGUAGACUGGGAGGCUUGGGACCGGGAGAGUCACGAAGUACUCCGGGGGUAGAGGUGAAAUUCUGUAAUCCUCGGGGGACUACCGGUGGCGAA
RNAcentral lists this ribosomal RNA (613 nucleotides) under uncultured archaeon. RNAcentral's name for it is "bacterial SSU rRNA". It matches the Rfam family "Archaeal small subunit ribosomal RNA", at positions 51 to 670 of the family's 1478-position model. The record is from RNAcentral.